GACGGAGGAUGCAAGUGUUAUCCGGAAUCACUGGGCGUAAAGCGUCUGUAGGUGGUUUAAUAAGUCAACUGUUAAAUCUUGAGGCUCAACCUCAAAAUCGCAGUCGAAACUAUUAGGCUAGAGUAUAGUAGGGGUAAAGGGAAUUUCCAGUGGAGCGGUGAAAUGCGUAGAGAUUGGAAAGAACACCGAUGGCGAAGGCACUUUACUGGGCUAUUACUAACACUCAGAGACGAAAGCUAGGUAGCAAAUGGG
This 252-nucleotide ribosomal RNA is filed under the name uncultured bacterium. Its description in RNAcentral is "partial 16S ribosomal RNA". It matches the Rfam family "Bacterial small subunit ribosomal RNA", at positions 524 to 776 of the family's 1533-position model. The record is from RNAcentral.